Molecule: long non-coding RNA, 565 nt
Filed under: Homo sapiens (human)
Lineage: Eukaryota; Metazoa; Chordata; Mammalia; Primates; Hominidae
Description: non-protein coding lnc-RNF187-1:1
Source: RNAcentral
CUUUAAGUCAGCCAAGGGAGGAAACCCAUGGGGGAGUCCGGGAGAGAAGAUGCAGAUGCCUCCAGCUAUUACGAGUCCCAUGGCAACAAGGAUCAGAGGCAGAGCUGCUUUCCAUGCCGUGAACUGGGAGCUUCUGGAGAAGGUAGCUGGAGAAGAUUCCCAGAAGCCAGGAAUAUUGGGAACCAUGGGACACCAUGCCAAGAGUGAGCCCUCAUGAAAACUGCACUCUGGGUGCUGACGGCAUUGUCAACGGAAGUUCAUCAAACAUGGUGGACGUUCCUUCUGGUGUAGGGUUUUUAUGCUGGGGGAAGGUGUGUGAGGGGGUUAGGGGAAGAUGGGAACUCUCUGGACUUUCUACUAAAAUUUGUUGUGACCCUAAAACUGCUUUAAAAAAUAAAGCCUAUUUUAAAAAACCCUAAAAACUGUUGAUAUUAGGAUGUACAUUUCUUGUUCCCCCAAAGGCAAGGCUCUCCCCAGGGUCCCUGCACCCUUAUCUCUGUUCCUCUUCAGUAAUCAGCACCCAAACAGUGCACCUCCUGGGAUGCCCCAGCCAUGUGAGGACAGG